UUGCCAGACUCCUACGGGAGGCAGCAGUGGGGAAUAUUGGACAAUGGGGGGAACCCUGAUCCAGCGACGCCGCGUGAGUGAAGAAGUGUUUCGGUAUGUAAAUCUCUAUCAGCAGGGAAGAAAGAAAUGACGGUACCUGACUAAGAAGCCCCGGCUAACUACGUGCCAGCAGCCGCGGUAAUACGUAGGGAGCGAGCGUUGUCCGGAAUUACUGGGUGUAAAGGGAGCGUAGGCGGGAUUGCAAGUUGGAUGUGAAAACUGCGGGCUCAACCCGGAGCGUGCAUUCAAAACUGCGAUUCUUGAGUGAAGUAGAGGCAAGCGGAAUUCCUAGUGUAGCGGUGAAAUGCGUAGAUAUUAGGAGGAACACCAGUGGCGAAGGCGGCUUGCUGGGCUUUUACUGACGCUGAGGCUCGAAAGUGUGGGGAGCAAACAGGAUUAGAUACCCCAGUAU
RNAcentral lists this ribosomal RNA (451 nucleotides) under uncultured bacterium. Its description in RNAcentral is "bacterial SSU rRNA". It matches the Rfam family "Bacterial small subunit ribosomal RNA", at positions 328 to 793 of the family's 1533-position model. The record is from RNAcentral.